RNAcentral lists this ribosomal RNA (375 nucleotides) under uncultured bacterium. RNAcentral's name for it is "bacterial SSU rRNA". It matches the Rfam family "Bacterial small subunit ribosomal RNA", at positions 524 to 898 of the family's 1533-position model. The record is from RNAcentral.
UACGAAUGUGGCGAGCGUUGUUCGGAAUCACUGGGCGUAAAGAGUACGUAGGCGGCUUGAUAAGUCAGGAGUGAAAUCCCAGGGCUCAACCCUGGAAUUGCUUUUGAAACUAUCUCGCUAGAAACACGGAGAGGUUGGCGGAAUUCCAAGUGUAGAGGUGAAAUUCGCAGAUAUUUGGAGGAACACCAGUGGCGUAAGCGGCCAACUGGACGUGUAUUGACGCUGAGGUACGAAAGCGUGGGGAUCAAACAGGAUUAGAUACCCUGGUAGUCCACGCCAUAAACGAUGUGUGCUAGUUGCUGGGUAGCUUAGCUAUUCGGUGACGCAGCUAACGCAUUAAGCACACCGCCUGGGAAGUACGGCCGCAAGGUUAAA